RNAcentral lists this long non-coding RNA (723 nucleotides) under Solanum tuberosum (potato). RNAcentral's name for it is "long non-coding RNA (STUB_LNC004499)". The record is from RNAcentral. Lineage: Eukaryota; Viridiplantae; Streptophyta; Magnoliopsida; Solanales; Solanaceae.
GGCUUUAUAAUGGGGAUGAAUGUGGAAUGAUAAUCUAACCGGGUCUUUAAGUGAAGCCUUUGGUGAGUAGUAAAGACUAAUAUCUGUCAUCACUCUCAUUAGAACUGUUACGAGACAUAGCGUUUUUCAGCUUGGUACCACUGUAUUUCAGCUCAUUAUUGUUGCUUUCUGCCUCAGUAUGUCCAUUUGGUUGCCUCUUGUUAUCUGACUCAAAAAAAAAUUAGUUCGUUGUUUCCACUUCCUCGUCGUGAUCCUGUUUAUUUUGUUGUUAUUUCUUUCUUUUUUAUGCUACAGAUCGUUGGUUUGAACAUGACCUUGCUUUUCUUUUUUAUAAAACUUUAUUUUAUUUUUCUUAUGUUUUUUGAUCAUACUCAGUCUCUCAGCCAUCGUUUGUGUAUAACCAUUUUGUUGACCCUUGACCCUAUCUUGCAGAUUCUGUUUGUCUUUGUUUCAUUGCCUUUUCACCAUUCCUUUUCAUUCUCUUAUUGUUCUAAUUUUUCAUCAGCUUCCCCCACUAGCAGAGUCAUAUUAAUUGUUUUCGUAUUCAAGCUUUUGAUAGUAUCCCCUUAAAGGUGAUUUCUCAUCCUCUACACCUAUCCAGACAUUGUCCAAAUGAGAUUUCAACAAGUGGAUUUCAACUUGAACCUUAGACAUGCUCGGUCUAGUUCAUCCAUGUGUAGCAACAUCCAUAGCUAAGGGAGUUCCAAUAGAGCUAACAAUUUG